UAAUUUGAAGGUAGUUUUCUGGUGCUGGCCCUUGUYUAUGUUCCUUGGAACAGGACGUCAUAGAGGGUGAGAAUCCCGUCUGAUGGGGUGUCCAGUGCUUUGUAGAUUUCUACCGAAGAGUCGAGUUGUUUGGGAAUGCAGCUCUAAGUGGGUGGUAAAUUCCAUCUAAAGCUAAAUACUGGCGAGAGACCGAUAGCGAACAAGUACAGUGAUGGAAAGAUGAAAAGAACUUUGAAAAGAGAGUGAAAAAGUACGUGAAAUUGUUGAAAGGGAAGGGUAUUGGAUCAGACUUGGUGUCUUGUGAUUAUCUUCCCUUCUUGGGUUGUGCACUCGCAUUUCACUGGGCCAGCAUCGGUUCGGAUGGCAAGAUAAUGGCUUGGGAAUGUGGCACUCUUCGGAGUGUGUUAUAGCCCUUGUUGAUGUUGCCUAUCUGGACCGAGGACUGCGGCUYUUGCCUAGGAUGC
This 464-nucleotide ribosomal RNA is filed under the name Petasospora fabianii. Its description in RNAcentral is "eukaryotic LSU rRNA". It matches the Rfam family "Eukaryotic large subunit ribosomal RNA", at positions 146 to 615 of the family's 3401-position model. The record is from RNAcentral. Lineage: Eukaryota; Fungi; Ascomycota; Saccharomycetes; Phaffomycetales; Wickerhamomycetaceae.